This 545-nucleotide ribosomal RNA is filed under the name Bifidobacterium bifidum. Its description in RNAcentral is "bacterial SSU rRNA". It matches the Rfam family "Bacterial small subunit ribosomal RNA", at positions 146 to 703 of the family's 1533-position model. The record is from RNAcentral. Lineage: Bacteria; Bacillati; Actinomycetota; Actinomycetes; Bifidobacteriales; Bifidobacteriaceae.
UCUCCUGGAAACGGGUGGUAAUGCCGGAUGUUCCACAUGAUCGCAUGUGAUUGUGGGAAAGAUUCUAUCGGCGUGGGAUGGGGUCGCGUCCUAUCAGCUUGUUGGUGAGGUAACGGCUCACCAAGGCUUCGACGGGUAGCCGGCCUGAGAGGGCGACCGGCCACAUUGGGACUGAGAUACGGCCCAGACUCCUACGGGAGGCAGCAGUGGGGAAUAUUGCACAAUGGGCGCAAGCCUGAUGCAGCGACGCCGCGUGAGGGAUGGAGGCCUUCGGGUUGUAAACCUCUUUUGUUUGGGAGCAAGCCUUCGGGUGAGUGUACCUUUCGAAUAAGCGCCGGCUAACUACGUGCCAGCAGCCGCGGUAAUACGUAGGGCGCAAGCGUUAUCCGGAUUUAUUGGGCGUAAAGGGCUCGUAGGCGGCUCGUCGCGUCCGGUGUGAAAGUCCAUCGCUUAACGGUGGAUCUGCGCCGGGUACGGGCGGGCUGGAGUGCGGUAGGGGAGACUGGAAUUCCCGGUGUAACGGUGGAAUGUGUAGAUAUCGGGAA